CUGACACAGCGCUAGCGCACAGCUAGCGGAGGCAGCCCCUCGCCUCACUUUACAUUUAGUCUCUACGGUCCGGGCAACGGGGCAACACGCCUUAGAAUUGGCUUUUCUAAUAUUUUAUGUAGAACGCGCGCUCUACGGUGUUGAUAAAGUAUGAAUCGCUUCGAUGUGCCCUUUUUAACCUCCUGGUCAGAGUUCUAUCAAAAUUGGUCAAUCCGUUAUUCGUCGGAGUUAUUUCUCGGACAGACAGACAUCUCGUUAUUGCCUAUAUUAAUGGGAAUGCAUCAAACAAGGAAGCUACGAAGCGAAAUAUUGAACAUGUCUUAUGCAUUGAAGCACAUAUCCUCGAGGGAAGCACUUCCUCUUAGUACGAGACGGACUUCAAAGGGC
Long non-coding RNA from Pectinophora gossypiella (pink bollworm), 387 nucleotides. RefSeq lists it as uncharacterized. Lineage: Eukaryota; Metazoa; Arthropoda; Insecta; Lepidoptera; Gelechiidae. The record is from RefSeq and is a predicted model, not a curated record. The transcript is spliced from 3 exons.